GGGAAUAGCUGGGUCAAAUGGAAGCUUGUUUUUGAGGAAUCUUCACACUGAUUUCCACAGUGGUUACACCAGUCUACACUCCAACCAGCAGAGGAGAAAGGAAGAUGGUAGAGUGGUGAACAGCAGAGAAAUAGCCUCUCUGAGAUUUGGUGUCCAGACAAUGAAAUAUAGUAACGUGAGGAAGAGAAGACAGAGGAAAGUCGGUCCCUGGGACCCAGCAAGGAUCUGAAGCAGGAAUGGAACCCCACGGGGAGAGUGAAUAGACCUCAAUGCAGAAGAAGAACAAGAUUCGCUCGUGUGCAAAUGCGGUUGUCUCAUAAACUCAAGAAGUGGAAUGCAUGUGACUGUACAUCCCUGGAACCGUGCCAACAGGCACUCUAGGCAGAAAGAGAACAGAGGAAGAGUAUUAUACUUACAAUACCAAUUCAACAAAAUGGAUCCAGUGCUUCCAGAACCCUGAAAAUCUCCGUUGGAUUUGUAAAUUUAUAUAAUCAUGUUCUCGGAAAUCCUCAGAGCCUGUCAUGAUAUCAUAAUGAC
Molecule: long non-coding RNA, 537 nt
Filed under: Heterocephalus glaber (naked mole-rat)
Lineage: Eukaryota; Metazoa; Chordata; Mammalia; Rodentia; Bathyergidae
Description: lncRNA (ENSHGLG00100040619.1)
Source: RNAcentral